UUCACUGAAGACUGCGUGGGGAGGUCACGGAAGUGUGUACACGGCACAGGACACAGCAUCUCACUGAAAAUCUCCCUCUUACCCCACUUGCCCCGGCUCCUCUCUAUGAUGCAUUCACUACUUCUUUGGAACUGUAAGAGCCAGUCCACCCUCGGCCUCACUCAGGAGGCCCAGAUUCCUCCCCAAAGCAAGCUUAUUGUGAUAUCUUCUCAACAAUGUGGGUGUCUCUGUAAAGAGAUUCAAAAACCAUUUGUGAAGAGGAUAAAGAUCCUUUCAUUAUUUCACAUUUCCAGUGACCUUGAGACUAUGUUAUACACAUUUGCUGGGAUAUAUAAAGGAGUGUGGCAUGACAGGAGUAACCCGUCAGCUGUCACGUGAAGCAGGAUUAGUGAAACUCACACCACACCAAAGAAGGCUUCUGAGAAAGCUACAGCUCCUGACGGUUAAUGGGCUUUCCCAUGGUUAGAAAAACAAGGACAAGUCAACCAUCCUUGCAUUUGCCAAUGCUGAAUACAGUUCCAAGGUGCCCCAUGCUCAAUGAGUACCUGUUGUCAACCGUGAUGCCAGACAAGUGUUUCGACCAAUGUGUGGUGGAAUUUCUUCCCUACCAUCUCCUGUAAGUGAGAAGAAGCACAGCUUUCUCUCCCUAUUCAAGCCUCCUCUGGGUUUGAGGGACAUUUUCACUGGUUCUCCAUCCCCCUCCCACCUUGUAUCCCUGGCAACGCCCAGCCAUUAGCCUAGCUUAAGCAGCUUCUUCUCCGGGAAGCCUUUUCCAGCAACACCUUGGAGAUUAGCCAGCCUCCCAUUGAGCCGCCACUGUACCCAGUGGAACUAUUCCCUCGCCUAAACGUUGGUUCUUUGCUUCUAUGCCCGGAUCUUUCCAGCAGGUGGCUAUGGAACUGGCCUUGCCUGUGAAAUGACAUUGGCUCUGCUUCCUUCAGGCUUGAAGGUGAUUCCAUGAGCUACCAUCAUUUGGUCAUUUGACAAAUGGGAAUUUGAGGUGUCGUGGCAUUUCAAUUUAUAGUAAUAUAUAAUCAUCUAAUUCUCCUGCACCACU
Long non-coding RNA from Sciurus carolinensis (gray squirrel), 1057 nucleotides. RefSeq lists it as uncharacterized. The record is from RefSeq and is a predicted model, not a curated record. NCBI's taxonomy places the organism in Eukaryota, Metazoa, Chordata, Mammalia, Rodentia, Sciuridae. The transcript is spliced from 3 exons.